ACUCCAUGGUGAGGACAAAAUCUAGUGUAACCCUUCAAUCCUUCCCAAGCUUCAUGGAGAGCUUCGUGGGGGCCUUGUUUGAAGCUCGUGAUAUCAUUCCUAAUUCU
Arabis alpina (gray rockcress) is the source of this 107-nucleotide non-coding RNA. Lineage: Eukaryota; Viridiplantae; Streptophyta; Magnoliopsida; Brassicales; Brassicaceae. The record is from Rfam.